CGUUCAAAUUAAUAAACAAUCUCAAGAAAUAAUUUGGUCUUAUUUUGAUUUUCAAGGAGAAGGGAUUGAUACAUCUAUCUGUUACCAGAGAAGAAAACAGCAAUAUCAGCAAUAUUAAACAUCUCAGUGAAACAACUAAUUUCACACCAGCUUGCAGGGAGAGGACUAACAGAAAUAAUAGUGCUAUUGAACCAUUGCCUAAAUGUUGUGAUGUAGUGAGCCCCUACAUGUGGCAAGAUCUAAACGUGAUGAAGGCUGUCUCCCUACAUGUGGUGUGAAGAUGUCGUUAUGUGGUCUAAAAGGAGGCAGACUAGACAUUUAUAGCCUUUUCUUCCCCCCUCCUUCCCUAUCGGAGACUUUAAUUCCUGCCAGGAAGAAGGAUCCCAAGAUUUAUAUUCAAGGCUUAACUCCUUUUUCUACCCAAUAUCAGUUCCACAAUGAACUGAUAUAA
This 451-nucleotide long non-coding RNA is filed under the name Monodelphis domestica (gray short-tailed opossum). RNAcentral's name for it is "lncRNA (ENSMODG00000051152.1)". The record is from RNAcentral. Lineage: Eukaryota; Metazoa; Chordata; Mammalia; Didelphimorphia; Didelphidae.